CCCUGACAACCUCUAUAAACCCAGAGAAAGACACUACUGGACCACCCAAAUGUUAAUUUUUAUAAUAUGGAAAUUCCUCAUUGUAUAAUUACAUCAUAGCCGAGUUCCACAUGCCUAGAACUAUACCCAUGUGUCAAGAUAGCCGUAACUUUCGUGCUGUGCCGGCCACAACUCUGAGACAAGAUGGUGAAGGUCGGAGUGAACGGAUUCGGCCACAUCGGGCGCCUGGUCACCAGGGCUGCUUUUAAUUCUGGCAAAGUGGACAUCGUUGCCAUCAAUGACCCCUUCACUGACCUUCACUAUAUGGUCUACAUGUUCCAGUAUGAUUCCACCCAUGGCAAGUUCCACUGCACAGUCAAGGCGGAGAAUGGGAAGCUCGUCAUCCAUGGAAAGGCCACCACCAUCUUCCAGGAGCAAGAUCCCGCCAACAUCAAGUGGGGUGAUGCUGGUGCUGAGUACGUGGUGGACUCCACUGGGGUCUUCACUACCAAGGAGAAGGCUGGGGCUCACUUGAAGGGUGGCUCCAAGAGGGUCAUCAUCUCUGCACCUUCUGCCGAUGCCCCCAUGUUUGUGAUGGGCGUGAACCACGAGAAAUAUAACAACACCAUCAAGAUUGUCAGCAAUGCCUCCUGCACCACCAACUGCUUGGCCCCCCUGGCCAAGGUCAUUCAUGAACACUUCGGCAUCAUGGAGGGACUCGUGACCACCGUCCACGUCAUCACUGCCACCUAGAAGACUGUGGAUGGCCCCUCCAGGAAACUGUGGUGUGAUGGCCGAGGGGCUGCCCAGAACAUCAUUCCUGCUUCUACUGGCGUUGCCAAGGCCAUGGGCAAGGUCAUCCCUGAGCUCAAUAGGAAGCUCACUGGCAUGGCCUUCUGCGUCCCCACCCCCAACGUGUCCCUCGUGGGUCUGACCUGCCGCCUGGAGAAACCUGCCAACUAUGAUGAGAUCAAGAAGGUGGUCAAGCAGGCAUCAGAGGGCCCUCUGAAGGGCAUUCUAGGCUACACUGAGGACCAGGUUGUCUCCUGCGACUUCAACAGCGUCACUCACUCUUCUACCUUCGAUGCUGGAGCUGGCAUUGCCCUCAAAGACCACUUUGUCAAGAUAAUUUCCUGGUACGACAGUGAAUUUGGCUACAGCAACAGGGUGAUGGACCUCAUGGUCCACACGGCCUCCAAGGAGUAAGGUCUCUGGACCCCCAGCCCCAGCAGGAGCACGAGAGGAAGAGAGAGUUCCUCAGCUGCUGGGGAGUCCUUGCCCCACCUCCAUCCUCCACCACACUGAGAAUCUCCCGACCUCCACAGUUUCCAUCCCCAAGGCCCUGAGGAAGGGGAGGGGCUUAGGGAGCCCUGCCUUGUCGUGUACCAUCAAUAAAAGUACCCUAUACC
Molecule: non-coding RNA, 1388 nt
Organism: Odocoileus virginianus texanus
Lineage: Eukaryota; Metazoa; Chordata; Mammalia; Artiodactyla; Cervidae
Source: RefSeq, a predicted model, not a curated record